This 341-nucleotide ribosomal RNA is filed under the name Salmonella enterica subsp. enterica serovar Heidelberg. Its description in RNAcentral is "bacterial LSU rRNA". It matches the Rfam family "Bacterial large subunit ribosomal RNA", at positions 1093 to 1348 of the family's 2925-position model. RNAcentral also lists the same sequence under 38 other names. Lineage: Bacteria; Pseudomonadati; Pseudomonadota; Gammaproteobacteria; Enterobacterales; Enterobacteriaceae. The record is from RNAcentral.
CCAGGAUGUUGGCUUAGAAGCAGCCAUCAUUUAAAGAAAGCGUAAUAGCUCACUGGUCGAGUCGGCCUGCGCGGAAGAUGUAACGGGGCUAAACCAUGCACCGAAGCUGCGGCAGCGAACGUAUCACCCAAGACAACUUUACGGAGUUGACGAUUGACGGAGCGAAGCGACGUCAAAGCGUUCAUUAAAGUCGAGUUGGCUUAGGGAUACGUUCGUUGGGUAGGGGAGCGUUCUGUAAGCCUGUGAAGGUGUGUCGUGAGGCAUGCUGGAGGUAUCAGAAGUGCGAAUGCUGACAUAAGUAACGAUAAAGCGGGUGAAAAGCCCGCUCGCCGGAAGACCAA